This 11216-nucleotide long non-coding RNA is filed under the name Triticum aestivum (bread wheat). Its description in RNAcentral is "long non-coding RNA (TAES_LNC010598)". The record is from RNAcentral. Lineage: Eukaryota; Viridiplantae; Streptophyta; Magnoliopsida; Poales; Poaceae.
GAGACUCCACCUCAGCCACAGGCAGUCGAUGUAGUCCACGUGACCUCACUCCUACGGAUCGCCAUAGUAGUCGUAGUCAUCACCUUCAUCUUCAUGCAACUCUGUUGUCAACAAAAUUAUUGCCAUGAGUACAUUACGUACUUAACAUGCCUCCCACGGGGAAGGACCUAAUAGCUACAUGUGGCUUCAAAGGAAGGCUAUAUGGAUCAUUUGCAUAAAGCUAAUUUUUUCGACAAAUAAAGCAGUUGGAUAAAAGUAGUUUUAGAUGAAAACAUGUUUUAUCUCCAGAAUAACUUUCAUCAAGUGAGGAUCCUCGAUCAACUCACACUCUUCAUAGGUUCCAAGAAUAGGGACAAAGAGGGAAUAAGCAAGACAGGUCCUGUACGUCAAGAAAGAUUUAUGUGUAGCCCUUGACCGUGGACACAGCUAUUCGAAUAGUUUUACACUCUGCAGAGGUCGUACACUUUACCCACACGACACAAUCCCGACUUGUUGCCACCAGUGGCCGCUGGUAUAGUACUCCAUUUGGUGUACCGGCAGGGGGAUUGUGACGAGGUCUUUGGACUAAAUCCCCCAAAGAUGUGACAUGCCCACCGGGUCUGGCGCACGGAACUGAGAGUAUGUCCUUAAAUCGGUCCCCCCAUCUGUGCCGAGGACACUCCUCGCAAGGCAGCUAUCCCAUCUGCGGUACGGCGACAUCGACACCUAAGGCUGACUAGCUUACUUGACCAAGCCAGUGCCCAUAUAGCAUGUGGCUGUACUGUUAUCACAAUCUUCCAAUCCAAGACUUAUUAGACCUUAAGCAGCACAGACGACUGAUUACCCCCUUCAACUUGUGAAGGGCAGCCAAUCGCUCCUUCAAUCCUUGAUUCAGCUAUCGCCCGCGCCAGUAUACAGAUGGUAAGUUUCACCCAGAGUAGAAGAGAGUAGAGGAUAUCAAUAAGGCCAUCUGGCCUAGCUCAGCGGUAAGUUUCAAUUGUCAAUGACUCAGAUGUCAUUCAACAAAGCACCUAUAGGGUAAUAAGCAUGGCUAAGCAUUUCUACUCUACAAGAAUACUAUAAUUCUACUCAGGUGUCAAAUGAAUAGGCAACAAGUGGAUCAAGGUAAUGUGUCAAUCGACACGCUAGCUACGAGAAUUAAAAUAGCAUGCAUAUAAUAACCAUAAAACACAAUGCAAUUUUGUAAACAUAGGAUAAGUAUGAUCAAAGAAGGAGGCAUGCCUUCGUUGUUGAGUCCUUCUUCAGUAACCUGUUCUAUCCAUGUCCAACAUCGAUAUUGUCACUCCCUACUCGUCGGAACGACAGCAAAAGACAAACAAUAAAUACCAAAGCAAAAGUAAAUCCAAAUAACAUCCAAAACAAUUUAAAAUUGGAUGGACAACAAGAUAUUGAUCAAGAUGGAGACUUUGAAAUGAGGUUGAUUAGGAUGUAAGAGAAAGGAUUCAUUGAAGUGACAUGGUUGAGGUUGACACAGCUAAGAAAUACUUGGCGAUCAAGACUAAGGUUCCAAUACGAAUAUGCAAUUAAACACUAGUAGUGCCCACUACACAUCUCGACAAACUAUAUAGGAAACUACUAUCUAACAAAACCAAUGGCAUCAACACACAUGAAAAGGAACCAUCCUAUGCAUUUAACCACACAAUUACAACAUGACAUGAUGAAGGUAAAAGUCAAAUAAAUAUUUAGACAGAACCUAAAUAUUUAUAAUGGUCAAUAGCAGACAAACAUAUGCAUCAACUAUAUAAUAAUUCCAAACGAACAAACAUUACAAACCAUACUAGUUAAGCAAUAAAAUAUCAUUCAACAACAUGAGUUGAAAUGAUCUAGGUCUAGCCCAAAAAAACCAUUAAAAUGGAAUAGGGUCAACUCCAUUAUAUCAAACCAAUUCAUUUGUCAAACAAUUAACAAGAAACUAUACAACACAUGGAACAAAUGGAUGCACAACUAUCCUAGGCAUGAUAUGAUUAAGAGUAACAAUCAACCAAGAAUAAAUAUUUGGAUGAAUCCAAAUACUUAUAAUGGUUAACAACAAUCAAAGACUAAACAUAAAUUAUAAAAAACUAUUAGCAAUAAUUUAUAUAAAAGAAGACAAACCAAUACUAAUUAAGGUAGAAACUAAUUUAACAACUUAAUAAUAACACACAUCUCACAUAAUACAUGUGAGUAUAGAUUCACUAAUGUCUAAGAAAAUAACACAAGCAUGACACAUAUGAGUGAUCAUGAUAAGAUAUUAAACUAGAAUAUGGUCUUACUACUAAAGAACAACUAAUACUCAAGUAACCACUAGAAAUAAGAUUGCCACUUCAUGCUUACAUAACAGAUCAAACUAUGCACACUAAGCAUAUGAGGAAGAUACAACUCACUAACAUGAAAGGUAAAUUGUCUUAAGCAUGUGCUAAACUAUCGCAACAAGACCCAACACUCCUGAGGCUACCAUAAGGCCAAAGUGAUCAUCCAUAAGAACGCACAACAGACUAAGUACUCAAUUAUAGCACAUAGACAAAACAAGACAUGAAAGAUCACUUGCAUGAGUGACAACUGACAUAUAACAAUGCAACAACUAGAUAAAGUAGAUAUGAAGAAGUGUAGGCAUACAACAAUGUAAUAGUGAGGUAGACUAGAUAUAAUGCUAAGCUUGGAUGAUCAUGACACAAGAUGCCAAACUAUGCUACCAGUAGAAUACAACUUAAUGACUAUGACAUAACUUAGUUGAUAUCAACUAACAUGACUAUCAAGAAUGGCAUUAGCUCACAACACUAUCAUGUUAGUUGUGACUUAUAAGAAAAAGGGAAAAACAUACUAAGCAAGUACACAUCUAGGUCAUGGCAUCAAUCACAUCAAGCGAUGUGCUAAACUAGCAUGAAUAACAUGAAGACAGUAUUUCUAUCUAGUACAACCUAGACUUUCUAAUACAUAAAUGGAGAACCUAGGCAUCAUACAACACACGGGUCGUUACACACAUUUAUGCAAUCUAUUUAACAAUCCCAACAACAUGGCAUGACAAGCAAAAAUAUUUAAACAUCUAUCUUAGACAAAGCAUGAUUUAAAACCAACAUGUGACAUGGAUGAAAAAUGAAUAAGUAAACCAUAUAUAUGAUUUCGCCAUGCUAAAUAAUAUUAAAUAGUCAAGACAUGAGGUGUUUCAUGACUAGAUGGAUAAGUAAAUGAACACCUAGAACAAAUCUAAAGAAUUAUAAGCACGAUGAAUAUUAACCACAAUGAUGUACACGCUCUCCGUGUAACAAUAAAGAAUACCAAUCAUUACUAAAAUAAUAAUAAUAAGAUUACACUAACAAUGAUCCAAAACUAAUUAAAAUAAUAACACCAAACAAGCAUGUAAGAACAUUAAUAAUCUAUUACAACAAUCAACUCCUACACAUGGUAAGAAUUUGCAAAGACUUGUACAGAGACAUGUCAUAGGACUACACACACCAAAGAAAAAUGUCACAUGGGACAACCAGUUCAACAAUUAUCAAAUAACUAUAAUCGGUAAAUAAAUCCAGCAAGUGACAUGACACAUCAAAAUUACGAGGCGAAUAGAUACCAUGCACUCCUAAGCAUACCAAGAACAUAAGGAAAUAACAAUAUAUUAACAGAAGUUCACUGAUGAAUCCUACACAUAACCAUGCAACACUAUUUUAAAACUAUUGUUUUAAUCAACCAGAGCGGCUAGAUAAAAUCUAUAUUAAAUCUUGAUUGACUAAACAAGUAAUCUAGUAAAUCAAUUGAAACUCUUACGGUUAAGAAAUAUUUAGGAGCGACUCCUAGGUAUAAGUCACACAAGUGAAAAUUCGAAAGUGAAAGAAACAUGCACGUAGUGUAAUUCCCAUUUUACUAGAAUAAUUCCCAUUUUACUAGAAUAAUGUCUAACAAGAUAUAUACGCAAAAUCAAAAACCACAAACGUGUUCCUCUAACCACUUAACAUGUUUCAUCCAUUGGGAUCAAGAUCAAACGAUAAACAAAAACGAUGGAAAUAUGCCUAUAAUAUUUGGUUCAUGCGACGGAUAGCAUCGGCGCGCCCAACAAAAAAAAUAGAAGGAACUAAGAUGUAUAGGAGAUAACACGAGUGAUGUUUGGAAGGUGUGCAAUAGGAAUUGGAAAGUGGUUCACCGAGUUCGACGGAACGGUGCGAUGAACUUGACGAACAGUGUAUACGUACUUGCAAAAUUCUCCGCGUAUGCUCGACGGAACACGUUGUUUCUUCUCUGAAUGGAGCUGCGGCAUGGAGCAGAAUAUUUUGGCGCAAGGACUCGAACAUGGAUCGCCUAAAUCAUCGGGAUAGAGCAUCGGCGUCCAUGGAGCUGCUGUAGUUCAAGGAGAGUUCUUCAAAGAAUUAGGAACAGAUAGGGAGGGGUUGCUAGGGGAUUGGAAGAGGAGGUGGAGGCGCACAUGUAGGUACUCACAAAUUUGGAAACGGUGAAGAACUAAACAAUUUAGACCAGGGAAUGUUUCUCCUGUAGGUUUCCUUUUCCUCUUGUUUGUGUGCAUGUAGGUGUGCGUGGGUGGAGAAAGAGAUGAAGCGCUUGAGGCACGGCUUUGGGAGAUGAAGUGGAGAGAAAUAGGCACAAGGAGGAGUCAAAGAGAUGGAAUUAAAGGAGAAGGGCAGGAGGCAGCAUUCAUGCGUGGACGUUUCACUUCCUGUGAUGUGAGAACAUACACAUGAAGGAUAGAGAAGGGGUUUCCAACAUGGCUGUACGUUGCCUCUUCCGUGCACCUUUUCUCUUUUCUUCUCUGUACUUGUGUGCACGUGUGUGUAUGGACAUGAAGCGCUCCAAUGGUGUGGCUCUAAGAGACGGGCCUAUUUGGACAAAGCCCAUGGGAGGAGGAUGAGAGUAGGGAAACAGAAGAAAAGAAAUACAAUAGAUGGGCUAAGCCCAUUUGACUUGAGAAAGGAAAAGUAAAAUAGUGGGCUGAACUCAGGAAAGAGAAAAAGAUGUUGGUUCAAGUAAAUUAUGUACAUAGUUUGAUAGAAUGAAAAUAAAUUGAUUUCCUCUCCGAAAAAAUCUAGAAAAGGAAUAGAAGCUCGGACAAAAAUCAAACGAAUUUCAAAAGACCAAAGAAAAUUCAAAGGUGCAUAUUUUAAUAUGCCGAAGAAGAGCUGAUUACAAGAAAAGAACAAUACACCAAUUUUAAUUAGGUUCACAUUAGUUCAAAUUAAAUACUUCAAAUUAUAAAAGUCCAAUUUAAGCUUCGUAACCAAAUAGAACAAACGAAAUUUUCUCGCGCUAAUUUUUGGAAAACUUUUUCUUAAACAUUCUGAGAAUCGGGAUGUUACAGAUCUACCCCCCUUAAAAGAAAUCUCGUCCCCGAGAUUUGGGCUGACUAAAGAGAAUGGGUUUGGAUUAGCUUCGUCAUCGACAUAGUUCUUCUCGAAAACUUGUGGAAUCAUUGCUCAUUCUGAACUUGGUGAUAGGUGGCUUUGGGUCUUCAUUGGAGAUACUUCUCUUGUCAUAAUUCUUCUAGGUUUCAAGACUUGUAAACAAUCCUUCGAUCUUGGCAAUGGUAAUCUGAUAGCUUCUGUAACUGGUUGAACAUUCCUCAGCUUGUCCUUCCAUAGGUGAAGCAUUGGUCCGGCUAGACUAAUUGAUCCUUGAAGUUUGAACGUUAUGAUAGGUGUAGUGAAGGUCUUCAAUCUUCGUCUUCCUUGUGAAUGAAGGUCUUCAAAUCUUCAAUCUUGACACAAUCAUUGUCUACUACCCCCCUUAAAAGACGUUUUCCAUAGGGUUCACUUUCAUAAUAGAUCUCUAAGUGGGUUGUUGCAACUUUGUUCAUCUCAAGGUGACCUCUAGGGUUUAUAGAGAAGAGGGAGAGAGCGUGAGAGGAGUAAAAGAAUCCUAAACAAGGCAGAGAUACCCCAAAAGAUACAAAAAAAGAUAACAGUGAGAUAGCCAAGAAGAUAUCCAAAUAAAACUCAAAAGCAACUCAUUUUGGCAAAUAGGGUUUUAGUAUGACUGCAUAGGAAAAGACCAAAAAUAUGCAGACAAUACUCACACAAGAAAGGUUUUGCAUCUACAAGAUACGAACUCUAUCACUACAAGGGUGUUAACCAACCUAAUCCUAUAUGGCAGGUCACAAUAAAUCUUGGGGAAAAUCUUCAACGUUGAUGAUUGCAGCAUGAUCGACGGUCGUUGCCUUCUUGAAGGUCUCGAACUGUCUUCUCUUGGAAAAUGUUGCUACUUAGAGCUUUAGGGUUUGAAGUUUGAAGUUCUUGGCAAGUCUUGAGAAACUUCUGACUUUUUAGCACCAUGGGCAGGGAAAGGGUUUCACAUACUAUAAAGAAGAAGGUAGAGAAGUAGAGUUACACUUUAUUUGAAUAAGAUAACUCAAGAAGAGCAAUAGGGGAGAACAAGAUUACGAGAAUAUUUUCUUUGAAAAUAAUUUUCUUUAAUAAAUAGUUCCUAAGGCUUUCCAUUUCUAACUAAGGUCACGCGCCUAGGUCGACAUCGGCUCUGAUACCACUUCUGUGAGAACCCGGAAUUAACUUCCAGACCCUCCUGUGUAUAUUUGUCAACCCCAGGAUCAUUGUUGAAAACAUAGUGAAAUGAUAUCAUUGCACAAUGCAUAAAAGGUAUUACAAUAUUAAAUAUAUCUUUCCAUAAAGCAUACCAAGAUAAAUGUCUCAUGACACUUAUUACAUUAAGAAAAACAGCGGAAAAGUACAAUGCAUAGAGACUCCAUCUCAGCCAUAGGCAGUCGAUGUAGUCCACGUGACCUCACUCCUACGGAUCGCCAUAGUAGUCGUAGUCAUCACCUUCAUCUUCAUGCAACUCUGUUGUCAACAAAAUUAUUGCCAUGAGUACAUUACGUACUCAACAUGCCUCCCACGGGGAAGGACCUAAUAGCUACAUGUGGCUUCAAAGGAAGGCUAUAUGGCUCAUUUGCAUAAAGCUAUUUUUUUGACAAAUAAAGCAGUUGGAUAAAAGUAGUUUUAGAUGAAAACAUGUUUUAUCUCGAGAAUAACUUUCAUCAAGUGAGGAUCCUCGAUCAACUCACACUCUUCAUAGGUUCCAAGAAUAGGGGCAAAGAGGGAAUAAGCAAGACAGGUCCUGUACGUCAAGAAAGAUUCAUGUGUAGCCCUUGACCAUGGACACGACUAUUCGAAUAUUUUACACUCUACAGAGGUCGUACACUUUACCCACACGACACAAUCUCGACUUGUUGCCACCAGUGGCCGCUGGUAUAGUACUCCAUUUGGUGUACCGGCAGGGGGAUUGUGACGAGGUCUUUGGACUAGAUCCCUCAAAGAUGUGACAUGCCCACCGGGUCUGGCGCACGGAACUGAGAGUAUGUCCUCAAACCGGUCCCCCCAUCUGUGCCGAGGAUACUCCUUGCAAGGCAGCUAUCCCAUCUGCGGUACAGCGACAUCGACACCUAAGGCUGACUAGCUUACAUGACCAAGCCAGUGCCCAUAUAGCAUGUGGCUGUACUGUUAUCACAAUCUUCAAAUCCAAGACUUAUUAGACCUUAAGCGGCACGGACGACUGAUUGCCCCCUUCAACCUGUGAAGGGCAGCCAAUCGCUCCUUCAAUCCUUGAUUCAGCUGUCGCCCGCGCCAGUAUUCGGAUGGUAAGUUUCACCCAGAGUAGAAGAGAGUAGAGGAUAUCAAUAAGGCCAUCUGGCCUAGCUCAGCGGUAAGUUUCAACUGUCAAUGACUCAGAUGUCAUUCAACAAAGCACCUAUAGGGUAAUAAGCAUGGCUAAGCAUUUCUACUCUACAAGAAUACUAUAAUUCUACUUAGGUGUCAAAUGAAUAGUCGACUAGUGGAUCAAGGUAAUGUGUCAAUCGACAUGCUAGCUACAAGAAUUAAAAUAGCAGGCAUAUAAUAACCAUAAAACACAAUGCAAUUUUGUAAACAUAGGAUAAGUAUGAUCAAAAAAGGAGGCAUGCCUUCCUUGUUGAGUCCUUCUUUAGUAACCUGUUCUGUCCAUGUCCAACAUCGAUAUCGUCACUCCCUACUCGUCGGAACGACAGCAAAAGACAAACAAUAAAUACCAAAGCAAAAGUAAAUCCAAAUAACAUCCAAAACAAUUUAAAAUUGGAUGGACAACAAGAUAUUGAUCAAGAUGGAGACUUUGAAAUGAGGUUGAUUAGGAUGUAAGAGAAAGGAUUCAUUGAAGUGACAUGGUUGAGGUUGACACAACUAAGAAAUACUUGGCGAUCAAGACUAACGUUCCAAUACGAAUAUGCAAUUAAACACUAGUAGUGCCCACUACACAUCUCGACAAACUAUAUAGGAAACUACUAUCUAACAAACACAAUGGCAUCAACACACAUGAAAAUGAACCAUCCUAUGCAUUUAACCACACAAUUACAACAUGACAUGAUGAAGGUAAAAGUCAAAUAAAUAUUUAGACAGAACCUAAAUAUUUAUAAUGGUCAAUAGCAGACAAACAUAUGCAUCAACUAUAUAAUAAUUCCAAACGAACAAACAUUACAAACCAUACUAGUUAAGCAAUCAAACAUCAUUCAACAACAUGAGUUGAAAUGAUCUAGGUCUAGCCCCAAAAAAACCAUUAAAAUGGAAUAGGGUCAACUCCAUUAUAUCAAAUCAAUUCAUUUGUCAAACAAUUAACAAGAAACUAUACAACACAUGGAACAAAUGGAUGCACAACUAUCCUAGGCAUGAUAUGAUUAAGAGUAACAAUCAACCAAGAAUAAAUAUUUGGAUGAAUCCAAAUACUUAUAAUGGUUAACAACAAUCAAAGACUAAACAUAAAUCAUAAAAACUAUUAGCAAUAAUUUAUAUAAAAGAAGACAAACCAAUACUAAUUAAGGUAGAAACUAAUUUAACAACUGAAUAAUAACACAUAUCUCACAUAAUACAUGUGAGUAUUGAUUCACUAGAUGUCUAAGCAAAUAACACAAGCAUGACACAUACGAGUGAUCAUGAUAAGAUAUUAAACUAGAAUAUGGUCUUACUACUAAAGAACAACUAAUACUCAAGUAACCACUAGAAAUAAGAUUGCCACUUCAUGCUUACAUAACAGAUCAAACUAUGCACACUAAGCAUAUGAGGAAGAUACAACUCACUAACAUGAAAGGUAAAUUGUCUUAAGCAUGUGCUAAACUAUCGCAACAAGACCCGACACUCCUGAGGCUACCAUAAGGCCAAAGUGAUCAUCCAUAAAAAUGCACAAGAGACUAAGUACUCAAUUAUAGCACAUAGACAAAACAAGACAUGAAAGAUCACUUGCAUGAGUGACAACUGACAUAUAACAAUGCAACAACUAGAUAAAGUAGAUAUGAAGAAGUGUAGGCAUACAACAAUGUAAUAGUGAGGUAGACUAGAUAUAAUGCUAAGCUUGGAUGAUCAUGACACAAGAUGCCAAACUAUGCUACCAGUAGAAUACAACUUAAUGACUAUGACAUAACUUAGUUGAUAUCAACUAACAUGACUAUCAAGAAUGGCAUUAGCUCAAAACACUAUCAUGUUAGUUGUGACUUAUAAGAAAAAGGGAAAAGCAUACUAAGCAAGUACACAUCUAGGUCAUGGCAUCAAUCACAUCAAGUGAUGUGCUAUACUAGCAUGAAUAACAUGAAGACAUGUAUUUCUAUCUAGUACAACCUAGACUUUCUAAUACAUAAAUGGACAACCUAGGCAUCAUACAACACACGGGUCGUUACACACAUUUAUGCAAUCUAUUUAACAAUCCCAACAACAUGGCAUGACAAGCAAAAAUAUUUAAACAUCUAUCUUAGACAAAGCAUGAUUUAAAACCAACAUGUGACAUGGAUGAAAAAUGAAUAAGUAAACCAUAUAUAUGAUUUCGCCAUGCUAAAUAAUAUUAAAUAGUCAAGACAUGAGGUGUUUCAUGACUAGAUGGAUAAGUAAAUGAACACCUAGAACAAAUCUAAAAAAUUAUAAGCACGAUGAAUAUUCACCACAAUGAUGUACACGUUCUCCGUGAAACAAUAAAGAAUACCAAUCAUUACUAAAAUAAUAAUAAUAAGAUUACACUAACAAUGAUCCAAAUCUAAUUAAAAUAAUAACACCAAACAAGCAUGUAAGAACAUUAAUAAUCUAUUACAACAAUCAACUCCUACACAUGGUAAGAAUUUGCAAAGACUUGUACACAGACAUGUCAUAGGACUACACACACACCAAAGAAAAAUGUCACAUGGGACAACCAGUUCAACAAUUAUCAAAUAAUUAUAAUCGGUAAAUAAAUCCAGCAAGUGACAUGACACAUCAAAAUUACGAGGCGAAUAGAUACCAUGCACUCCUAAGCAUACCAAGAACAUAAGGAAAUAACAAUAUAUUAACAGAAGUUCACUGAUGAAUCCUACACAUAACCAUGCAACACUAUUUUAAAACUAUUGUUUUAAUCAACAAGAGCGGCUAGAUAAAAUCUAUAUUAAAUCUCGAUUGACUAAACAAGUAAUCUAGUAAAUCAAUUGAAACUCCUAUGAUUAAGAAAUAUUUAGGAGCGACUCCUGGGUAUAAGUCACACAAGUGAAAAUUCGAAAGUGAAAGAAACAUGCACAUAGUGUAAUUCCCAUUUUACUAGAAUAAUGUCUAACAAGAUAUAUACGCAAAAUCAAAAACCACAAACGUGUUCCUCUAACCACUUAACAUGUUUCAUCCAUUGGGAUCAAGAUCAAACGAUAAACAAAAACGAUGGGAAUAUGCCUAUAAUAUUUGGUUUAUGCGAUGGAUAGCAUCGGCGCGCCCAACAACAAAAAUAGAAGGAACUAAGAUGUAUAGGAGAUAACACGAGUGAUGUUUGGAAGGUGUGCAAUAGGAAUUGGAAAGUGGUUCACCGAGUUGGACGGAACGGUGCGAUGAACUUGACGAACAGUGUAUACGUACUUGCAAAAUUCUCCGCGUAUGCUCGACGGAACACGUUGUUUCUUCUUUGAAUGGAGCUGCGGCAUGGAGCAGAAUAUUUUGGCGCAAGGACUCGAACAUGGAUCGCCUAAAUCAUCGGGAUAGAGCACCGGCGUCCAUGGAGCUGCUGUAGUUCAAGGAGAGUUCUUCAAAGAAUUAGGAACAGAUAGGGAGGGGUUGCUAGGGGAUUGGAAGAGGAGGUGGAGGCCCACAUGUAGGUACUCACAAAUUUGGAAACGGUGAAGAACUAAACAAUUUAGACCAGGGAAUGUUUCGCCUGUAGGUUUCCUCUUCCUCUUGUUUGUGUGCAUGUAGGUGUGCGUGGGUGGAGAAAGAGAUGAAGCGCUUGAGGCACGGCUUUGGGAGAUGAAGUGGAGAGAAAUAGGC